Molecule: small nuclear RNA, 108 nt
Organism: Suncus etruscus (white-toothed pygmy shrew)
Lineage: Eukaryota; Metazoa; Chordata; Mammalia; Eulipotyphla; Soricidae
Source: RefSeq, a predicted model, not a curated record
GCUCACUUCAACUGCACAUAUACUAAAACUGGAACAAUACAGAGAAGAUUAGCAUGUGCAUACAUGCACAAGGAUGACAUUCAAAUUUGUGAAGAAGAUCUGAAUUCA